This 492-nucleotide ribosomal RNA is filed under the name uncultured bacterium. RNAcentral describes it as "partial 16S ribosomal RNA". It matches the Rfam family "Bacterial small subunit ribosomal RNA", at positions 28 to 507 of the family's 1533-position model. The record is from RNAcentral.
AUUGAACGCUGGCGGCAUGCUUUACACAUGCAAGUCGAACGGUAACAGGCCUUCGGGUGCUGACGAGUGGCGCACGGGUGAGUAAUGCAUCGGAACGUACCCAGAGGUGGGGGAUAACGCAGCGAAAGCUGUGCUAAUACCGCAUGUGAUCUGAGGAUGACAGCGGGGGACCGCGCAGCAAUGUUUGGCCUCGCGCCUUUGGAGCGGCCGAUGUCGGAUUAGCUAGUUGGUGGGGUAAAGGCCUACCAAGGCGACGAUCCGUAGCUGGUCUGAGAGGACGACAGGCCCCACUGGGAGUGGGACACGGCCCGGACUCCUACGGGAGGCAGCGGUGGGGAAUGUUGGACAAUGGGCGCAAGCCUGAUCCAGCAAUGCCGCGUGCGGGAAGAAGGCCUUGGGAUUGUAAAACGCUUUUGGCAGGAACGAAACGGUGUCCGCUAAUACCGGGCGCUAAUGACGGUACCUGCAGAAUAAGCACCGGCUAACUACGUG